RNAcentral lists this long non-coding RNA (615 nucleotides) under Parus major (Great Tit). RNAcentral's name for it is "lncRNA (ENSPMJG00000010734.1)". Lineage: Eukaryota; Metazoa; Chordata; Aves; Passeriformes; Paridae. The record is from RNAcentral.
CUGUUGUGGUAUGGGAACCCCAAAUCCAGGUGACUGGUUGCCAUUUGGCUGCAUGGCAUUCUUUGAAGAAACAGUGUCUCCCUGCUCUUGCCCCUUCUGCCUGCCCUGCAUCUGCCCUGGCAUGACCCAUCCAUCAGUGCUCCUCCUCGAAUCAAACCCUCCAUCACAGCUGUGGACCAGAUGGCACCAAUCCUCCUGGCACAGCCCCAGAACUUGCCAGAGAGGCAGAAACCCAGGUUUGCUGGUGCCCCAUGCUGGGAGCUCAGCAUCCUUGGUCCCUCAGGUGUGCCUGUCACUGCCAUGUCUGACACCAAUGCCUGACUCGGAGGAAGAUGCCAUCAUCCUGCUGCCAGCUCCACCACCUGCUGCAGUAGCACGUGGCUUUCCCUUGAAGGCACUCAUGCCAAGCCUCAGUCAAGCUCAAGCCCCUGCUAGCUCUCUUCCCAAGCUGUCCAUGCCAUGUCUGUCCUUGGCCCAGUGGACAGCAGCAGGUUGCUUGCCUAUCCCUCUGUGAGAAGCCAUGGAGCAGAGAUGCAGGGCUCCACGUGGAGGCCACUUCAACCCAUCCAUCCCUGCAGCCAAACAGCCACCUCCCAGUUAACAAGGAGCCCAGGG